RNAcentral lists this ribosomal RNA (695 nucleotides) under uncultured bacterium. RNAcentral describes it as "bacterial SSU rRNA". It matches the Rfam family "Bacterial small subunit ribosomal RNA", at positions 94 to 820 of the family's 1533-position model. The record is from RNAcentral.
AGUGGCGGACGGGUGAGUAACACGUAAGAAUUUGCCUUUAGGAGGGGGACAACAACUGGAAACGGUUGCUAAUACCCCAUAUGCUUUCGAGUGAAAUGGAUUUCCGCCUAAAGAGAAGCUUGCGGCUGAUUAGCUUGUUGGUGAGGUAAUGGCUCACCAAGGCGACAAUCAGUAUCUGGUUUGAGAGGACGAUCAGACACACUGGAACUGAGACACGGUCCAGACUCCUACGGGAGGCAGCAGUGGGGAAUUUUCCGCAAUGGGCGAAAGCCUGACGGAGCAAUACCGCGUGAGGGAUGACGGCCUAUGGGUUGUAAACCUCUUUUUUCAGGGAGGAAUAAAAUGACGUGUACCUGAAAAAUAAGCAUCGGCUAACUCCGUGCCAGCAGCCGCGGUAAGACGGGGGAUGCAAGUGUUAUCCGGAAUCACUGGGCGUAAAGCGUCUGUAGGUGGUUAAAUAAGUCAACUGUUAAAUCUUGAGGCUUAACCUCAAAAUCGCAGUCGAAACUGUUUGACUAGAGUAUAGUAGGGGUAAAGGGAAUUUCCAGUGGAGCGGUGAAAUGCGUAGAUAUUGGAAAGAACACCGAUGGCGAAGGCACUUUACUGGGCUAUUACUAACACUGAGAGACGAAAGCUAGGGUAGCAAAUGGGAUUAGAUACCCCAGUAGUCCUAGCUGUAAACAAUGGAUACUAGA